GCCCAAAGAUUUAAGAGGUCGUUUGGUACACAUCAUUUUGGGCGAAUUUGGUGGAAUUCAUUUGCGAAUUCCGGUUUCAACUUGUUUGGCUGCCACACAUUGACCAUUGGAAUUGAAUUGUCGUUUCCACCCAAAUCCCUGCCUCCUCCCCGUCAUUCCUGUGGAUUUGCCAGCUCUCCUCCUCCCCGACACCACUCUCCCUCCCCAAUCCUGCUCCUCCCCAUCCAUGGCGCUCCGAUUCGCCGCCACCAGCGAGCCCUCCCUCCUCCGCCGAUCCCUCUUCUUCAUUUCUUAUCCUUUCCCAUCUCCUAUUCCUCACCUCCCCCUUCAAUCCCCCGACCCCCAGUUGCUCCGCCCCGUGCUCCGUCCUGCUGCCGGGAGCAGCGUCCGAUGACCACAGUUGCCCCGCCCGGACCUCCGUCCUGCUGCCGGGAGCAGCGGCCGGUGACCCCCAGUUGCCCCGCCCGCAGUCCCUGAUUUAGUACCGGAUCGACCUCAAGCACACGGGAUCUGGACACCUCCAGAGGAGAUUGACAUCUUGACCAUCUCUGCACCUUAUCCCUGUUGAGGGCAAAUUUUUGGCAAGAUGUCGGACUUGCACGUUAACAUCAUUGCAUCAUGAUGAGAGGAGGAAGAAAAGAAAGAGGGCAGCAGCUGGAUUUUUUGUGUCGGUUGUCGUGAUAGUUCAACACACCUAUUGUCGGAGGAGGAUUAGAGAGCUUGAUGAUUUCAGCGAGGAUGAGACGGAGAUUAAGAUUAGAAAGAAUAUGCUUAAAUAAAUUUAUCAAGGUUCUAAUAAGUACUGUUAUGAUAGUUUGCGCCUAACUACAUGGUCCUUUGUGGACCUAUGCGCUAUCUUGCGUGAAAGAUGUGGUUUGUGCGACACUUUUGUGUAUCAGUCGAAGAAUCAGUCACAAUCUUUUUGCGAGAAAUAUUUUGUUUGCUGGAGGUAAUUAGAGGGAGAGAAUGAGAUAUAGGUAAAAAAACACAUUUGCCCUUCCUUGCGUCGUCUCCUCCGAGGCGACCCGGGGGCCCCAAAACCUAGCACCGCCAGGCUCGGCCAGCAGCUACUCCUCGUCAGGUGGCGGGCGCUUGAGGUGGGGGAUGUUCGAUCCCCUCUCGGUUGCGUGGCUCGGUGGAUCCAGGCAGCUCGACAGGUGUCCAUCCGGCAAUGGUGAUAUUGUGUGACUUCUUGUGUGACAACGUUGGCGGCUUCGGGCGAAGUUGGGCUGCUGUUGAGCUUUGGUAGUCGGUCUCAUCCGGCGGGUUCGAGGGGUUGCCGUGCCUCGCUUGUCUUCCUUGCGGAGGUGUGAUGAUGAUGACACUAGAUUGCAACCUCGACGGUGCUUUUCUCCUUGACGGUGUGUGUGUGUUCUUGUGUGGGUUGCCAGGUCGUCAUGUGUGCCUUAUGUUUUGCGGGCGUGUUAUGAUGGUUUUCGCCCGGUUUUUCGUUGAUUAACUGGGCAACUCUCUUCGACCUUUUUUUAAUGAAUCGGGCCCUAAGGGACUGCAUCUUGAAAAAAAAAACACGAGAGGUGGGAAUAGAUUACUUGUGCUGAUGCCUUGUAUUUUUUUACUCCAUAUAUGCACUACUUGAAGGUAGUUUUGUUGAUCUAGGUGGAUUAUGUCUUAUUCUACAAAAGAAAAUAUAUAGCUUUCUGAAAUGUGAUGACUUGCAAUACUGCCUAUAAAUAAAUUAAGAUGGAGUUUUAGAAGCUUCACAUUUUAUAAAUACUUCAGUAAGUUUGCUUCUCGUCAUAUUUGCAGGACAACAAAGAAGCCACAUGUUCAAGUCUCUUCAAGUCUUACUUGAGUGAUCGUGAUGCAAGUUUAAGCCUCUUCAAGUCUUACUAGAGUGGUUCUGAUGCAAGUUCAAGCUUCUUCAAGUCUUACUAGAGUGGUCCUUAUGUAAAAGUUCAAGCCUCUUGAAUGCAAAUAUUUAUUUUUUAUGGUUCUAAUGCAUUUGUGAUGGCACACUGUAGUCUUUCGUGUUCCUUCUUAACACAAGCUAUUGGAAGAAAAUGGUU
Triticum aestivum (bread wheat) is the source of this 2027-nucleotide long non-coding RNA. RefSeq lists it as uncharacterized. The transcript is spliced from 3 exons. Lineage: Eukaryota; Viridiplantae; Streptophyta; Magnoliopsida; Poales; Poaceae. The record is from RefSeq and is a predicted model, not a curated record.